RNAcentral lists this ribosomal RNA (290 nucleotides) under uncultured bacterium. Its description in RNAcentral is "partial 16S ribosomal RNA". It matches the Rfam family "Bacterial small subunit ribosomal RNA", at positions 335 to 641 of the family's 1533-position model. The record is from RNAcentral.
AUACCUACGGGACGCAGCAGUGGGGAAUAUUGCACAAUGGGGGAAACCCUGAUGCAGCAACGCCGCGUGAGUGAAGAAGGUUUUUGGAUUGUAAAGCUCUGUUAGCAGGGAAGAGGAAGGACGGUACCUGCAGAGGAAGCCACGGCUAACUACGUGCCAGCAGCCGCGGUAAUACGUAGGUGGCAAGCGUUGUUCGAAAUAACUGGGCGUAAAGGAUGCGUAGGCGGUUAAACAAGUUAUAUGUUAAAUAUAUAGGCUUAACCUGAUGAAAGCAUAUAAAACUGUUUAAC